This is a small nucleolar RNA of Ornithorhynchus anatinus (platypus), 138 nucleotides long. Lineage: Eukaryota; Metazoa; Chordata; Mammalia; Monotremata; Ornithorhynchidae. The record is from RefSeq and is a predicted model, not a curated record.
CCCUUCUCAGGUUCACACCUGGAGAAUUUCCAGUCCUCCACCAGGCUUGGCUAUGGGAGGGAGAGUCAAGCAGAGGCCUACCCAUUCCAUUCUUAGCUUGGCCAGUGGCUAAUGAGUGGAAGGUCAUCUGCUACAAGU